This 627-nucleotide small RNA is filed under the name Pan troglodytes (chimpanzee). Its description in RNAcentral is "processed transcript". The record is from RNAcentral. Lineage: Eukaryota; Metazoa; Chordata; Mammalia; Primates; Hominidae.
ACAUGUGAUGGAGCUCCCGGGCGGCACAGAGGGUCAGAGGGUGCCCUCUCAAUGACUCUGGCUCUGAGUCACCUAAUGAUACCAAUACCUACUGCUGUGGGAAGAAAACCGUCUACCGGAGUCUGUGCCUGGCCCUGGCCCUGCUCGUGGCCGUGACGGUGUUCCAACGCAGUCUCACCCCUGGUCAGUUUCUGCAGGAGCCUCCGCCACCCACCCUGGAGCCACAGAAGGCCCAGAAGCCAAAUGGACAGCUGGUGAACCCCAACAACUUCUGGAAGAACCCAAAAGAUGUGGCUGCGCCCAUGCCCAUGGCCUCUCAGGGGCCCCAGGCCUGGGACGUGACCACCACUAACUGCUCAGCCAAUAUCAACUUGACCCACCAGCCCUGGUUCCAGGUCUUGGAGCCGCAGUUCCGGCAGUUUCUCUUCUACCGCCACUGCCGCUACUUCCCCAUGCUGCUGAACCACCCGGAGAAGUGCAGGGGUGAUGUCUACCUGCUGGUGGUUGUCAAGUCGGUCAUUACGCAGCACGACCGCCGCGAGGCCAUCCGCCAGACCUGGGGCCGCGAGCGGCAGUCCGCGGGUGGGGGCCGAGGCGCUGUGCGCACCCUCUUCCUGCUGGGCACGG